This 36-nucleotide transfer RNA is filed under the name Nandus oxyrhynchus. Its description in RNAcentral is "partial tRNA". Lineage: Eukaryota; Metazoa; Chordata; Actinopteri; Anabantiformes; Nandidae. The record is from RNAcentral.
AUACACAAGCUGUGGGUUAGUGUCCUGCAAGUCUUA